CAGGCUUAACACAUGCAAGUCGAGGGGCAGCAUGGUCUUAGCUUGCUAAGGCCGAUGGCGACCGGCGCACGGGUGAGUAACACGUAUCCAACCUGCCGUCUACUCUUGGACAGCCUUCUGAAAGGAAGAUUAAUACAAGAUGGCAUCAUGAGUCCGCAUGUUCACAUGAUUAAAGGUAUUCCGGUAGACGAUGGGGAUGCGUUCCAUUAGAUAGUAGGCGGGGUAACGGCCCACCUAGUCUUCGAUGGAUAGGGGUUCUGAGAGGAAGGUCCCCCACAUUGGAACUGAGACACGGUCCAAACUCCUACGGGAGGCAGCAGUGAGGAAUAUUGGUCAAUGGGCGAGAGCCUGAACCAGCCAAGUAGCGUGAAGGAUGACUGCCCUAUGGGUUGUAAACUUCUUUUAUAAAGGAAUAAAGUCGGGUAUGCAUACCCGUUUGCAUGUACUUUAUGAAUAAGGAUCGGCUAACUCCGUGCCAGCAGCCGCGGUAAUACGGAGGAUCCGAGCGUUAUCCGGAUUUAUUGGGUUUAAAGGGAGCGUAGAUGGAUGUUUAAGUCAGUUGUGAAAGUUUGCGGCUCAACCGUAAAAUUGCAGUUGAUACUGGAUAUCUUGAGUGCAGUUGAGGCAGGCGGAAUUCGUGGUGUAGCGGUGAAAUGCUUAGAUAUCACGAAGAACUCCGAUUGCGAAGGCAGCCUGCUAAGCUGCAACUGACAUUGAGGCUCGAAAGUGUGGGUAUCAAACAGGAUUAGAUACCCUGGUAGUCCACACGGUAAACGAUGAAUACUCGCUGUUUGCGAUAUACGGCAAGCGGCCAAGCGAAAGCGUUAAGUAUUCCACCUGGGGAGUACGCCGGCAACGGUGAAACUCAAAGGAAUUGACGGGGGCCCGCACAAGCGGAGGAACAUGUGGUUUAAUUCGAUGAUACGCGAGGAACCUUACCCGGGCUUAAAUUGCAGAUGAAUUACGGUGAAAGCCGUAAGCCGCAAGGCAUCUGUGAAGGUGCUGCAUGGUUGUCGUCAGCUCGUGCCGUGAGGUGUCGGCUUAAGUGCCAUAACGAGCGCAACCCUUGUUGUCAGUUACUAACAGGUUCCGCUGAGGACUCUGACAAGACUGCCAUCGUAAGAUGUGAGGAAGGUGGGGAUGACGUCAAAUCAGCACGGCCCUUACGUCCGGGGCUACACACGUGUUACAAUGGGGGGUACAGAGGGCCGCUACCACGCGAGUGGAUGCCAAUCCCAAAAACCUCUCUCAGUUCGGACUGGAGUCUGCAACCCGACUCCACGAAGCUGGAUUCGCUAGUAAUCGCGCAUCAGCCACGGCGCGGUGAAUACGUUCCCGGGCCUUGUACACACCGCCCGUCAAGCCAUGGGAGCCGGGGGUACCUGAAGUGCGUAACCGCGAGGAGCGCCCUAGGGUAAAACUGGUGACUGGGGCUAAGUC
RNAcentral lists this ribosomal RNA (1440 nucleotides) under uncultured organism. RNAcentral's name for it is "16S ribosomal RNA". It matches the Rfam family "Bacterial small subunit ribosomal RNA". The record is from RNAcentral.